Molecule: ribosomal RNA, 460 nt
Filed under: uncultured bacterium
Lineage: Bacteria
Description: partial 16S ribosomal RNA
Rfam family: Bacterial small subunit ribosomal RNA
Source: RNAcentral
CCUACGGGUGGCAGCAGUGAGGAAUAUUGGUCAAUGGGCGGAAGCCUGAACCAGCCAAGUAGCGUGAAGGAUGACUGCCCUACGGGUUGUAAACUUCUUUUAUAAAGGAAUAAAGUGAGGCACGUGUGCCUUUUUGUAUGUACUUUAUGAAUAAGAAUCGGCUAACUCCGUUCCAGCAGCCGCGGUAAUACGGAGGAUCCGAGCGUUAUCCGGAUUUAUUGGGUUUAAAGGGAGCGUAGAUGGGUUGUUAAGUCAGUUGUGAAAGUUUGCGGCUCAACCGUAAAAUUGCAAUUGAUACUGGCAGCCUUGAGUACAGUUGAGGUAGGAGGAAUUCGUGGUGUAGCGGUGAAACGCUUAGAUAUCACGAAGAACUCCGAUUGCGAAGGCAGCUUACUAAACUGCCACUGACAUUGAUGCUCGAAAGUGUGGGUAUCAAACAGGAUUAGAUACCCUAGUAGUC